This 63-nucleotide transfer RNA is filed under the name Ptiliidae sp. BMNH 1274726. RNAcentral's name for it is "tRNA-Arg". The record is from RNAcentral. Lineage: Eukaryota; Metazoa; Arthropoda; Insecta; Coleoptera; Ptiliidae.
UAAUAAGAAACAAAUAUUUGUAGUUAGUUUCGACCUAAAAUUUUGGUGUUACACCCUUAUUUU